UCGCGAAAACUUUGCAAUACACGAAAGUGUGACAGGGCUAUCCCGAGUGCCAUCCGCUGAGGAAGGCUUUUACCCAGUCUAGAACGCUGGGGGAAUAAGGAGAGGGCAAGUCUGGUGUCAGCCGCCGCGGUAAUACCAGCUCUCCGAGUGGUGUGGAUGUUUAUUGGGCCUAAAGCAUCCGUAGCUGGCUAAGUAAGUCCCUUGUUAAAUCCACCGAAUUAAUCGUUGGAUUGCGGGGGAUACUGCUUGGCUAGGGGACGAGAGAGGCAGACGGUAUUUCCGGGGUAGGGGUGAAAUCCUAUAAUCCCGGGAAGACCACCAGUGGCGAAGGCUGUCUGCUAGAACGCGCCCGACGGUGAGGGAUGAAAGCUGGGGGAGCGAACCGGAUUAGAUACCCGGGUAGUCCCAGCUGUAAACGAUGCAGGCUAGGUGUUUGGACGGCCACGUGCCGUUCUAGUGCCGCAGGGAAGCUGUUAAGCCUGCCGCCUGGGGAGUACGAUCGCAAGAUUGAAACUUAAAGGAAUUGGCGGGGGAGCACCACAAGGGGUGAAGCUUGCGGUUU
Molecule: ribosomal RNA, 562 nt
Filed under: uncultured crenarchaeote
Lineage: Archaea; Thermoproteati; Thermoproteota
Description: bacterial SSU rRNA
Rfam family: Archaeal small subunit ribosomal RNA
Source: RNAcentral